UUGUGGGGAAGGUACCAGAAGGAGUGGACCAAUAUUGUCCAUCUUAACACCAGACCUUGGGAUAAUACAAAUAUUGGGAUGUGUGAAAUUUGAAGACAAUCGGACUCUUACAUCACAUUUUAUGAGAGUUAUAAUUAUUAAAAAUUUUGACCAUUUGUGGGGGAGGUACGUGAUAGAGUGGAACGAUAUUGUCCAUUUUCGCACCUAACCUAGCACUGGUGAAAAUAUUAAGAUUUGCAAAUUUGGAGCAAAAUCGGAUUUUACUUCCGCUUUCUGUGCAAAAAAUAUUUUUUUUGAAAAUUUCGACCUUUGUGGGGAAGGUACCAGAAGGAGUGGACCGAUAUUUCCCAUCUCCGAACUCGAUGUGAGUUCGACAAAAAUAUUACGAUGUACCAAGUUUGGAUAAAAUCGGAUACUCCCUUCGAGAGUUAUCAUGCGCACCAGCCAGCCAGACAAACAGACAGACGGACGGAAGGACAUCGCUAGAUCGACUCCAAAUGUUCUGAAAUGGAUUUGGUUCAAAGAGACCUAGGGUCUAAAACCGUUAUUUCGACUAGGCACGUUUUGACCGUAUCAAAUGGUAUAUACCCUCUGUAGCCAUAUGGCUGAGGGUAUAAUUAUGGCGUUUGACGUUGUUGCUGUCUGUUUAUCUUACCCUCUAUGUUGAAGGGGAUAAAAAAGCCCAGAAGAUAUUCUUUCUUUAGUAGAAGUUAAGAAGAUCCCCAAAAGACCUGCCAAGGUGUCUCAAAUUCUCCAAGGACCUAAAUUUCUUUUUGUGAUGCACACCAAAACCCCACUGUGUCCCCACCGACAUUUAAUCAAAUUCCAAGCUCCAUCCACCUACAAAGCAUGAAAGCUUAUCAUUUCGAUAGGCUGUAUGGAAUUCGAAAUAUAUCAAAUAUUAAUCGCUGGGGCCAUACUCACCGUGCCAUCGUUAUCUCGCAUAAUAAAUAUGCUUUGCACCAACAGAUAAACGGCAAAGCCGACAUUUAUUAUCCACAAAACGAAGCCCUUGAAUGUCAGCAACAUCAUUGAGAUGGCAGCAAUUGUGGCGGCCAGAACCUGGGCAGCUUGUGGUUGUAUCUCACCAGCAUAAGCCGAGCUAAGAUUAUAAUCGGCAGCCUCUGCCCGGAAACGUCCAUAGUCUACGCCAAAGAUAACACCCAAAACAAAG
Molecule: long non-coding RNA, 1174 nt
Organism: Musca domestica (house fly)
Lineage: Eukaryota; Metazoa; Arthropoda; Insecta; Diptera; Muscidae
Exons: 2
Source: RefSeq, a predicted model, not a curated record